UGGGGAAUAUUGGACAAUGGGCGAAAGCCUGAUCCAGCCAUGCCGCGUGUGUGAAGAAGGCCUUAUGGUUGUAAAGCACUUUAAGUGGGGAGGAAAAGCUUAUGGAUAAUACCCAUAGGUUCUGACGUUACCCACAGAAUAAGCACCGGCUAACUCUGUGCCAGCAGCCGCGGUAAUACAGAGGGUGCGAGCGUUAAUCGGAAUUACUGGGCGUAAAGCGAGCGUAGGUGGUUUAUUAAGUCAGAUGUGAAAUCCCUGGGCUUAACCUAGGAACUGCAUCUGAUACUGAUAAACUAGAGUAGGUGAGAGGAAAGUAGAAUUCCAGGUGUAGCGGUGAAAUGCGUAGAUAUCUGGAGGAAUACCGAUGGCGAAGGCAGCUUUCUGGCAUCAUACUGACACUGAGGUUCGAAAGCGUGGGUAGCAAACAGGAUUAGAUACCCUGGUAGUCCACGCCGUAAACGAUGUCUACCAGUCGUUGGGUCUUUUAAAGACUUAGUGACGCAGUUAACGCAAUAAGUAGACCGCCUGGGGAGUACGGCCGCAAGGUUA
RNAcentral lists this ribosomal RNA (549 nucleotides) under uncultured bacterium. Its description in RNAcentral is "bacterial SSU rRNA". It matches the Rfam family "Bacterial small subunit ribosomal RNA", at positions 355 to 896 of the family's 1533-position model. The record is from RNAcentral.